UCCCAGACUCCUACGGGAGGCAGCAGUGGGGGAUAUUGCACAAUGGGGGGAACCCUGAUGCAGCGACGCCGCGUGGGUGAAGGAGCGUUUCGGCGCGUAAAGCCCUCUCGGCAGGGAAGAAGGAGGACGGUACCUGACUAAGAAGCCCCGGCUAACUACGUGCCGGCAGCCGCGGGAAUACGUAGGGGGCAAGCGUUAUCCGGAUUUACUGGGGGUAAAGGGGGGGCAGACGGCAGCGCAAGCCAGGAGUGAAAGCCCGGGGCCCAACCCCGGGACUGCUCUUGGAACUGCGCGGCUGGAGUGCAGGAGGGGCAGGCGGAAUUCCUGGUGUAGCGGUGAAAUGCGUAGAUAUCAGGAGGAACACCGGUGGCGAAGGCGGCCCGCUGGACUGCGACUGACGUUGAGGCCCGAAAGCGUGGGGAGCAAACAGGAUUAGAUACCCCAGUACA
This 449-nucleotide ribosomal RNA is filed under the name uncultured bacterium. RNAcentral's name for it is "partial 16S ribosomal RNA". It matches the Rfam family "Bacterial small subunit ribosomal RNA", at positions 329 to 797 of the family's 1533-position model. The record is from RNAcentral.